UCAACACUACAAUCAGACGGUGCGGCU
This 27-nucleotide non-coding RNA is filed under the name Bombyx mori (domestic silkworm). The record is from RNAcentral. Lineage: Eukaryota; Metazoa; Arthropoda; Insecta; Lepidoptera; Bombycidae.